This is a non-coding RNA of Oryctolagus cuniculus (rabbit), 467 nucleotides long. The record is from RefSeq and is a predicted model, not a curated record. NCBI's taxonomy places the organism in Eukaryota, Metazoa, Chordata, Mammalia, Lagomorpha, Leporidae.
CAUUCAUCAGGCAGAGCAGAGAAAUGCAUCAGGAGGAUGAGUAAGCUGGGCCGGGCCAGAGAAUAAUGAAACCCUGAUGGCCGUGAGCUGAAGCAUGUUACAGUGUAUGAAGGGUCAACAUCUGGUUGAGUAGCUAUUGAUACUGAACUUUAAGCUGCGGGAACAAUCAUUAAGGAGGUACAGCAGGCUGAGAAGAUAAGACCUAAAGUACAAAGUAGUAUGGGAUAACGGGGAGAUGAAGAAACUAGGCUGUCUACUGUGCAGAUGGUGAAAUUACCUAAGAGGAUGUCUCAACCAGGGUUAGAAUGGAAGACUGAGCCAGCUGCGAGCUUCCUCUUCUGCAGUGAAAUGAAGGCUGAGGCAGAGGAUGCAGUGAAGGAAUGAACGGUCUGUUGAUAGGUGAGUCAAAGUUGCUGUACUUGGAUGGCAAAAGGGUAAAUGAAACAUACACACACAUACACACACAC